Molecule: long non-coding RNA, 1421 nt
Organism: Cyprinus carpio (common carp)
Lineage: Eukaryota; Metazoa; Chordata; Actinopteri; Cypriniformes; Cyprinidae
Exons: 6
Source: RefSeq, a predicted model, not a curated record
CUAAAUUCCAGUCGAUGAUUUUGACACUUCUCAAGUUGCUUUCCCUCUUCACAUGUUUAAAUCUAAUGGUGGAAAGCAGGGCGUCUAGUGCGUAACCGCGCGUAAUCAAAGAAGCGGCAGGACGCGCGAAGACGCACAACACAGAUGCGAUCAAAUGAGUUCACGGAGUUUACUGUGGGAUUCGGCUUUCUCUUUGUCCCACAGCACAAGAACCCUUCGUCAGGACGUCCUGAAGUUUACUGGAACGCUGAAGGAACUGGUUUAGAGACCGUGCACGGAUCUCAAAGUCCCAAACACUGAACAGAACUACUAAAACGAUCUCCUGGUGUGUUUUUAAGGUCACGUCCCGUGCCAGAUUUGGAUGAAGAGUGGCCCAAACAGAAGGACACAGCUUCAGUCAGACUCACUUUACAAGGCUGUCAGAGACGCAAGCGUCAGCUGCGAGAAACGACACAUGGAGCUGGAGAAAUUUUGUGGGCUUGAUGAACAUCUUCACCGGUGAGCGGCCGAAUCCACCUUGACCCACAGCCCACCCCAGCACAGUGCCGGGCCCCUCAGAGCACUGAAAACCUGCGGGAUUUGCCAUUUGGAAGUACUGACCUGCAACUUACCCAUUCCCGAUCUGUUCGGACAAGAGAUUCAGGAGUGAAGCUGCUCCGCUUUGGGACAGGUGCCAGUUGCAAAAGGCGAGUGAAAAUAUCAGUGAUCUGCAUGAGGAAACAUUGGGAGUGAGCGGAAAACACAAACUCACAAACAUCCGUGCAACUAUCGCAGAAAAAAGUGAAGGUUGCGAGGGUAAGGGAAGACACAGAAAAAGUGGAUCAUGAAAGAAGAGGUGGGGGGUGUUUAUUCAAGCCUGCUUGAUGCUCCUCGGGCCUUCAAGACCUGAUAGCAUGUGCCGUGGUAACUGUGGGACUAUUUGCAUGCGGCAGACACGCUAAUUGUGUGUUUGCUAACACGCACCAUUCAGCAACAAGCACUCCGGUCCACAGACGGGGUUCACACACGCCUCCCAGACGCCCCGGAGGCCUCCUAUUGUUCCAGAGGCCCAGCCAAGCAGCCGGUGUGCCUAACCAGAGCCCUGCGCUGGCCUGCCGAGAGGGGAAACUGGAAUUCGAGACCAGACGGGAUAGCGGGAUAGUGGACAGGCUCACAGCCCCUCUCUCUCUUUCUCUCCGCAGCAGGAAAAAAGAGGCCUGUGGAAAGCGCUGCCUCCGGGCGCUGACGUCCUCGCAGAUGUGUGCACAAGAGAAGUUGCAAGAUGCUGCCCUGCACAGGAUCACUAUAAUCACAUGAUCACUGCAAUCGUCAUUAUAUGGAAAGAGCAGAAAGAAGAAAAUCCUCCUUAUGUGUUUCACAGACGAGUUUGAGCAACAUGCGGGCGGAAGAAGAGACGCACAAUGAUGAGACUGAGACGAGUU